Non-coding RNA from Paramuricea clavata, 452 nucleotides. NCBI's taxonomy places the organism in Eukaryota, Metazoa, Cnidaria, Anthozoa, Malacalcyonacea, Plexauridae. The record is from the annotation of a GenBank genome assembly.
CAAACAUAUUAUUCACCUGAGUACACAACACCAGCACAGAAAAAAAAAUUCAUAUUACAAGAACACAUUGGUAUUGAAGGAACUAGAUACUGUUCCGAAAUAUCACUUACUCGAACCGUCCUGACCGCGCAGCUCAGUUGGAAGAGCAUUGGGCUAGUAUUCCAAAGGUCGUAGGUUCGAAUCCCACCGUGGCCGGGCAUAUUUUUCAAGCUCGCCUGGUGUGGAUAUGCACUCAGAGUAACAUCACAAACAUAUUAUUCACCUGAGUACACAACACCAGCACAGAAAAAAUUCAUAUUACAAGAACACAUUGGUAUUGAAGGAACUAGAUACUGUUCCGAAAUAUCACUUACUCGAACCGUCCUGACCGCGUAGCUCAGUUGGAAGAGCAUUGGGCUGGUAUUCCAAAGGUCGUAGGUUCGAAUCCCGCCGUGGCCAGGCAUAUUUUUCAA